This is a non-coding RNA of Bisporella sp. PMI_857, 85 nucleotides long. Lineage: Eukaryota; Fungi; Ascomycota; Leotiomycetes; Helotiales; Helotiaceae. The record is from the annotation of a GenBank genome assembly.
GAGCGGUUGGCGCAAUGGUAGCGCGUGGUCCUCCUACACAUGAGUGUCGAGACUGAGGUUGAGGGUUCGAGUCCCUUAUCGCUCG